ACCUCCACAUAAAACCAGAUACACUGAAAGUAAUAGAAAAUAAAGUGGGGAAGAGCCUCAAACACAUAGGCACAAGGGAAAUUUUCCAGAACAGAACACCAAUGGCAUAUGCUCUAAGAUCAACAAUAGACAAAUGGGACUUCAUACAAUUGCAGAGCUUCUGUAAAGCAAAUGACAAAACAGCAAACAACAGAUUGGGAAAAAAAUCUUUACCAACUGUAAUAUCUAAUAUAUACAAAGAACUUAGGAAGUUAGACCUCAGAGAACUAAAUAUUCCUAUAAAAAAUGGGAUGCAGAGCUAAACAGAAAAUUCUCAACUGAGGAAUAUUAGGUGGCUGCAAAGCACAUCAACAUCCUUAGUCAUUAGGGAGAUGCAAAUCAAAACAACCAGGAAAUUCUAAUUCACACCAGUCAGAAUGGCUAAGAUAAAAACAAAACAACACAAAACAGAACAAAAAAAAAACCCA
This 467-nucleotide long non-coding RNA is filed under the name Rattus norvegicus (Norway rat). Its description in RNAcentral is "long non-coding RNA NONRATT018307". The record is from RNAcentral. Lineage: Eukaryota; Metazoa; Chordata; Mammalia; Rodentia; Muridae.